UCUGUAAGCUCUUUUUUUUUACAUUACAGUACAGUGCAUACAGUACAGUACACGAUGAAUUAUGAGAUAUUAUAGGAAAAAGUGAUCUCACAUGCAUUCUCCAGAAGGUGGAGCUCCAGGAACCAUCCUAGUUCAGUCUCAGUUCAGUUAAAACAGAGCAGACAUACACUGAGUCAGUCAUACUCAGAGAGAGAACUGGAAGUCUUGACUAUCAAAGUUAUUGUCUUUCAUUAGUGUAGAUGUUGUCCCUCGUAUUUAUUAUAUUUUCUCUCCUAAAAGAGAAUGCUGGUGAAGAUGUCAUAAAACCUGUCUUGACAGAGAAGCAUGUUUUGGAAGGAAAAGAUGUUACACUGAUCUGCAGCUACACUGUCACUGUUCAGAGUUUACAAUGGUAUCGUCAGUAUCCCGGAUCCAAACCUGAGCACCUCAUUAUGUUCAUUGAGACCAUCCUCAAAUCAGAGCCUGCUCUCCGUCUGACCGCUGCAGCUGAUAAAGCAGCCAAAAGUAUGAAUCUGACCAUCUCUUCUACAGAAGUGAAAGACUCUGCCGUGUACUAUUGUGCCCUGCAGCCCACAGUGACAGGAAACACAACUGCACUGUACAAAAACAGAGUGAGAAAGGAUAUUUAA
Onychostoma macrolepis is the source of this 629-nucleotide non-coding RNA. Lineage: Eukaryota; Metazoa; Chordata; Actinopteri; Cypriniformes; Cyprinidae. The record is from the annotation of a RefSeq genome assembly.